AAAUUGAAGAGUUUGAUCAUGGCUCAGAUUGAACGCUGGCGGCAGGCCUAACACAUGCAAGUCGAACGGUAGCACAGAGAGCUUGCUCUCGGGUGACGAGUGGCGGACGGGUGAGUAAUGUCUGGGAAACUGCCUGAUGGAGGGGGAUAACUACUGGAAACGGUGGCUAAUACCGCAUAACGUCGCAAGACCAAAGAGGGGGACCUUCGGGCCUCUUGCCAUCAGAUGUGCCCAGAUGGGAUUAGCUUGUUGGUGAGGUAACGGCUCACCAAGGCGACGAUCCCUAGCUGGUCUGAGAGGAUGACCAGCCACACUGGAACUGAGACACGGUCCAGACUCCUACGGGAGGCAGCAGUGGGGAAUAUUGCACAAUGGGCGCAAGCCUGAUGCAGCCAUGCCGCGUGUAUGAAGAAGGCCUUCGGGUUGUAAAGUACUUUCAGCGGGGAGGAAGGUGUUGUGGUUAAUAACCGCAGCAAUUGACGUUACCCGCAGAAGAAGCACCGGCUAACUCCGUGCCAGCAGCCGCGGUAAUACGGAGGGUGCAAGCGUUAAUCGGAAUUACUGGGCGUAAAGCGCACGCAGGCGGUCUGUCAAGUCGGAUGUGAAAUCCCCGG
This 614-nucleotide ribosomal RNA is filed under the name Salmonella enterica. RNAcentral describes it as "bacterial SSU rRNA". It matches the Rfam family "Bacterial small subunit ribosomal RNA", at positions 1 to 606 of the family's 1533-position model. Lineage: Bacteria; Pseudomonadati; Pseudomonadota; Gammaproteobacteria; Enterobacterales; Enterobacteriaceae. The record is from RNAcentral.